Molecule: ribosomal RNA, 16 nt
Filed under: Entoloma sphagneti
Lineage: Eukaryota; Fungi; Basidiomycota; Agaricomycetes; Agaricales; Entolomataceae
Also listed under: 1 other name
Description: partial 28S ribosomal RNA
Source: RNAcentral
UUUGACCUCAAAUCAG